CUCGUAGGCGGUUCGGUAAGUCGGGUGUGAAAACUCUGGGCUCAACCCAGAGCCGCCACCCGAUACUGCUGUGACUAGAGUGCGGUAGGGGAGCGGGGAAUUCCUGGUGUAGCGGUGAAAUGCGCAGAUAUCAGGAGGAACACCAGUGGCGAAGGCGCCGCUCUGGGCCGUGACUGACGCUGAGGAGCGAAAGCGUGGGUAGCAAACAGGAUUAGAUACCCUGGUAGUCCACGCCGUAAACGUUGGGCACUAGGUGUGGGUCUCAACCAACGAGAUCCGCGCCGUCGCUAACGCAUUAAGUGCCCCGCCUGGGGAGUACGGUCGCAAGACUAAA
Molecule: ribosomal RNA, 334 nt
Filed under: uncultured Ilumatobacter sp.
Lineage: Bacteria; Bacillati; Actinomycetota; Acidimicrobiia; Acidimicrobiales; Ilumatobacteraceae
Description: bacterial SSU rRNA
Rfam family: Bacterial small subunit ribosomal RNA
Source: RNAcentral